ACGAACGCUGGCGGCGUGCUUAACACAUGCAAGUCGAACGGAAAGGCCCUGCUUGCAGGGUGCUCGAGUGGCGAACGGGUGAGUAACACGUGGGUGAUCUGCCCCUUACUUUGGGAUAAGCCUGGGAAACUGGGUCUAAUACUGGAUAGGACCAUGCUGUAGGUGGUGUGGUGGAAAGAUUAGUUUCGGUAAGGGAUGAGCUCGCGGCCUAUCAGCUUGUUGGUGGGGUAAUGGCCUACCAAGGCGUCGACGGGUAGCCGGCCUGAGAGGGUGGACGGCCACAUUGGGACUGAGAUACGGCCCAGACUCCUACGGGAGGCAGCAGUGGGGAAUAUUGCACAAUGGGCGCAAGCCUGAUGCAGCGACGCCGCGUGGGGGAUGACGGUCUCCGGGUUGUAAACUCCUUUCAGCCAUGACGAAGCCCUUGUGGUGACGGUAGUGGUAGAAGAAGCACCGGCUAACUACGUG
RNAcentral lists this ribosomal RNA (468 nucleotides) under uncultured bacterium. Its description in RNAcentral is "partial 16S ribosomal RNA". It matches the Rfam family "Bacterial small subunit ribosomal RNA", at positions 29 to 507 of the family's 1533-position model. The record is from RNAcentral.